ACAUACAACCCAACUAAUUUACUGACAAAAACAAUGGUCUUUACUGCUAAAAAAUGGGUUGACUUGGUCAACCUGUCGACUAUGACCCAAAUAGCAUUGUGUGCAGAUCUAGUUCCCAGCAAUCCUAUGAUCAAAUCCAGGGUCACAUAUUCCAUUAUGGAAUGGGAAGGAACUAUAAAAGAUGGUUGGGUCUCUGAUGUUCCACUUUAACCUGUUGACAAGUAAGACACCUGAAAACAAAGUCGUUAAUAUCGUGUUUCAUAACUGGCUACUAGAAAUGGAGUCUCAGAUCUCGAUAGAUCUUGGUGUUACCGAG
Molecule: long non-coding RNA, 316 nt
Filed under: Carica papaya (papaya)
Lineage: Eukaryota; Viridiplantae; Streptophyta; Magnoliopsida; Brassicales; Caricaceae
Description: long non-coding RNA (CPAP_LNC006500)
Source: RNAcentral